ACAAGCUUAUUAGAGGGGGAUAACAUUCGGAAACGGAUGCUAAUACCGCAUAGUUUCAGGRAUCGCAUGAUUCUUGAAGGAAAGGUGGCUUCGGCUACCACUAAUGGAUGGACCCACGGCGUAUUAGCUAGUUGGUGAGGUAAUGGCUCACCAAGGCAAUGAUACGUAGCCGACCUGAGAGGGUCAUCGGCCACACUGGGACUGAGACACGGCCCAGACUCCUACGGGAGGCAGCAGUAGGGAAUCUUCCGCAAUGGACGAAAGUCUGACGGAGCAACGCCGCGUGAGUGAAGAAGGUUUUCGGAUCGUAAAACUCUGUUGUUAAAGAAGAACAAGGAUGAGAGUAACUGCUCAUCUCCUGACGGUAUUUAACCAGAAAGCCACGGCUAACUACGUGCCAGCAGCCGCGGUAAUACGUAGGUGGCUAGCGUUGUCCGGAUUUAUUGGGCGUAAAGCGAGCGCAGGCGGUUCUUUAAGUCUGAUGUGAAAGCCAUAGGCUCAACCGGGAAGGGUCAUUGGAAACUGGAGAACUUGAGUGCAGAAGAGGAGAGUGGAAUUCCACGU
This 564-nucleotide ribosomal RNA is filed under the name Carnobacterium maltaromaticum. RNAcentral describes it as "bacterial SSU rRNA". Lineage: Bacteria; Bacillati; Bacillota; Bacilli; Lactobacillales; Carnobacteriaceae. The record is from RNAcentral.